GAUGAACGCUAGCUACAGGCUUAACACAUGCAAGUCGAGGGGAAACGAUAUUGGAAGCUUGCUUCCGAUAGGCGUCGACCGGCGCACGGGUGAGUAACGCGUAUCCAACCUGCCCACCACUUGGGGAUAACCUUGCGAAAGUAAGACUAAUACCCAAUGACGUCCAUAGAAGACAUCUGAAAUGGAUUAAAGAUUUAUCGGUGAUGGAUGGGGAUGCGUCUGAUUAGCUUGUUGGCGGGGUAACGGCCCACCAAGGCGACGAUCAGUAGGGGUUCGGAGAGGAAGGUCCCCCACAGUGGAACUGAGACACGGGCCAAACUCCUACGGGAGGCAGCAGUGGGAAAUAUUGGUCAAUGGGCGAGAGCCUGAACCAGCCAAGUAGCGUGCAGGAUGACGGCCCUAUGGGUUGUAAACUGCUUUUAUAAGGGAAUAAAGUGAGCCUCGUGAGGCUUUUUGCAUGUACCUUAUGAAUAAGGACCGGCUAAUUCCGUGCCAGCCGCCGCCGUAA
This 508-nucleotide ribosomal RNA is filed under the name uncultured bacterium. Its description in RNAcentral is "partial 16S ribosomal RNA". It matches the Rfam family "Bacterial small subunit ribosomal RNA", at positions 28 to 523 of the family's 1533-position model. The record is from RNAcentral.